Long non-coding RNA from Leopardus geoffroyi (Geoffroy's cat), 515 nucleotides. RefSeq lists it as uncharacterized. The transcript has 3 exons. Lineage: Eukaryota; Metazoa; Chordata; Mammalia; Carnivora; Felidae. The record is from RefSeq and is a predicted model, not a curated record.
AUUUAAGAUGCAACAUGUUAAAUUCCAUAAUGGUGAUGACUGAAAGAUAAAAAGUACCAUAGAUGAGGCCAUGACUGAAUCGGAAUGGGAGAAUCAGCCAAACGAAAUUAUUACUUCAAUUGAAUGCUGAAAGCUGCGCAUUGAUUAUUUUAUUCAGAAGGUCCUUUGCGAGAGGUCAGCGGUGGGACUUUGCGAGUACCGCCUCUUCAGACGGCUGCAUCAGCCAGCAGGCGGCGCGUUUCCCCGCCCGGAAAUCCGUCUGCUCCGGCGGAGGCCCAGCUGCUGCAGGCUGCGACUCCUCUCCCGAUUAAAUGAAUUGGUGAAAUGGUGGAGCACAGGAUGGAAAAAGCCUAGUCUCUUAACCACUGUGGAAGCUCAUCUACUGACACGGUAAAAUGGAAGUCCAGUUUAUUUCAGAGGCUGCUUCAGUGAAUGAAAGAGAAUAAAGGAGAGAGGGAAACAGUGAGUUUUAUGUUUAAUCUUAUAAUAACUUGUACCUAGGAAGUACAAUUAUU